ACGAACGCUGGCGGCGUGCCUAAUACAUGCAAGUAGAACGCUGAAGGAGGAGCUUGCUUCUCUGGAUGAGUUGCGAACGGGUGAGUAACGCGUAGGUAACCUGCCUGGUAGCGGGGGAUAACUAUUGGAAACGAUAGCUAAUACCGCAUAAUAGUAGAUGUUGCAUGACAUUUGCUUAAAAGGUGCAAUUGCAUCACUACCAGAUGGACCUGCGUUGUAUUAGCUAGUUGGUGAGGUAACGGCUCACCAAGGCAACGAUACAUAGCCGACCUGAGAGGGUGAUCGGCCACCCUGGGACUGAGACACGGCCCUGACUCCUACGGGAGGCAGCAGUAGGGAAUCUUCGGCAAUGGACGGAAGUCUGACCGAGCAACGCCGCGUGAGUGAAGAAGGUUUUCGGAUCGUAAAGCUCUGUUGUAAGAGAAGAACGAGUGUGAGAGUGGAAAGUUCACACUGUGACGGUAUCUUACCAGAAAGGGACGGCUAACUACGUG
RNAcentral lists this ribosomal RNA (494 nucleotides) under uncultured bacterium. Its description in RNAcentral is "partial 16S ribosomal RNA". It matches the Rfam family "Bacterial small subunit ribosomal RNA", at positions 29 to 507 of the family's 1533-position model. The record is from RNAcentral.